CAAUGGCGUAUAUUAAAGUUGUUGCAGUUAAAAAGCUCGUAGUUGGAUUUGUGGCGUACGGUGUGUUCCGGGCACUUGUUGUCUGAGUAACCUGCUGUUGCCAUCCUUGGGUGGAACCUGUGUGGCAUUAGGUUGUCGUGCAGGGGAUGCCCAUCAUUUACUGUGAAAAAAUUAGAGUGUUCAAAGCAGGCUUAUGCCGUUGAAUAUAUUAGCAUGGAAUAAUGAGAUAGGACUUUUUUGCUAUUUUGUUGGUUUGCGCAAGAAGGUAAUGAUUAAUAGGGACAGUUGGGGGUAUUCGUAUUCCAUUGUCAGAGGUGAAAUUCUUGGAUUUUUGGAAGACGAACUACUGCGAAAGCAUUUACCAAGGAUGUUUUCAUUAA
Molecule: ribosomal RNA, 380 nt
Filed under: uncultured eukaryote
Lineage: Eukaryota
Description: partial 18S ribosomal RNA
Rfam family: Eukaryotic small subunit ribosomal RNA
Source: RNAcentral